GAUGAAGAACGCAGUGAAAUGCGAUAAGUAAUGUGAAUUGCAGAAUUCAGUGAAUCAUCGAAUCUUUGAACGCACAUUGCGCCCGCCAGUAUUCUGGCGGGUAUGCCUGUUCGAGCGUCAUUACAACCCUCAGGCCCCCGGGCCUGGCGUUGGGGAUCGGCGGAAGCCCCCUGCGGGCACAACGCCGUCCCCCAAAUACAGUGGCGGUCCCGCCGCAGCUUCCAUUGCGUAGUAGCUAACACCUCGCAACUGGAGAGCGGCGCGGCCACGCCGUAAAACACCCAACUUCUGAAUGUUGACCUCGAAUCAGGUAGGAAUACCCGCUGAACUUAAGCAUAUCAAUAAGCGGAGGA
This 353-nucleotide unclassified non-coding RNA is filed under the name soil metagenome. Its description in RNAcentral is "partial contains 5.8S ribosomal RNA, internal transcribed spacer 2, and large subunit ribosomal RNA". The stretch from base 1 to 120 matches the Rfam family "5.8S ribosomal RNA", at positions 35 to 154 of the family's 154-position model. The record is from RNAcentral.